UGACCUCAAAUCAGGUAGGGGUACCCGCUGAACUUAAGCAUAUCAA
RNAcentral lists this ribosomal RNA (46 nucleotides) under uncultured Glomus. Its description in RNAcentral is "partial 28S ribosomal RNA". The record is from RNAcentral. Lineage: Eukaryota; Fungi; Glomeromycota; Glomeromycetes; Glomerales; Glomeraceae.